This 31-nucleotide ribosomal RNA is filed under the name Ficus racemosa (cluster fig). RNAcentral's name for it is "partial 18S ribosomal RNA". The record is from RNAcentral. Lineage: Eukaryota; Viridiplantae; Streptophyta; Magnoliopsida; Rosales; Moraceae.
GCCUGCCCAGUAGAAAGACCCACAGAAAGGA